Pseudopipra pipra is the source of this 6617-nucleotide long non-coding RNA. RefSeq lists it as uncharacterized. The transcript is spliced from 2 exons. NCBI's taxonomy places the organism in Eukaryota, Metazoa, Chordata, Aves, Passeriformes, Pipridae. The record is from RefSeq and is a predicted model, not a curated record.
CAAGAUCUGCCUGAUGGAUGAAUGCAGAGACCCAGAAAUAGGGAAUUCAUAACCUGGAUGGUGAAUUUGGUGUGGAAUGGGCUGAGUUUAAGCAGCCAAGGAUUGUGAACACUGAGAACUCCCCACUGGAGCCCCAGCCCUUGCUGUCAGCCAAGUGACAGUCUUGACAUUUAGCCACUUGUGGAUGGGAUUGAUAUUUCUAUGUUUUCUUGCUCCUUAAACAACUUGAAGAAAAGUUAUGUACUAACAGGAAAGAAACUGAGGAGUUACAAAAGAGGAUUCCUGUUUUAUUAUUCCACCAGGAGAGACUGUCAGUAGGACUGUCUCGAGGUAGCACCUCAGACAACAAGGAUCUAGAUCAUUUUUGAUGACACAGGGUGCUUUUCUGGUUCAUUUGUUCUCCUACCUGAAGUGUGAGUUUCCCAAUCGCCUCUUCCAUCUUUUUAACCUUUGCCACCAGCUCCCUGAGGUGCUCUAUGAGGCAGCUUUGUUCCUUAGUCUCAUUGUUCAAUAUCUGCCCUAUUUUCCAAGACUCCUUGUUCUCAUCCUCCUUCUGGCUCAGGUCCUUUAAGAUCUCCUGCAUUUGCUUCUGCUGGCUCUGAUAAAAUAGAAACAACGAGUGAGAUCUUCAUUUUGUACACCAUGAUUAUUUACAUCAUCCAAACAAAUCUCCAUUUAGGAAUGGUAGGACAACCUCCUGCCCUGCCAAACCCAUUCCUUGGUGGGAGCACACUGGUUUCACCAGUGCUGCUCUAGGAGUUUGAUUUGUUGUGUUGACCUGAGCAACUGAGAGAUUCAAUUUGCAGCUCACUGAUUCAGUAGCAGCUUUGCUACUCAGUGUAACAGAAAACAGAGCAAGCCUUGGACAAAGAAGGUGAAUUAAUUUUUCAUAAACUGGAUGAAAGUCAAGAUUUCAAUGUGAUUUUUGUGAAAUUAGCCCAUGAUCAGACUGUGUGACAGUGACAUUAAAAGAUGAGGGUACUGUGAGGUGACAGCUAUGAGUUCAGGCGGCUUCACCAGUGAGUUUUGGAGGUUUUCUUUCACACUGACAAAUCUAAUACCUGUCAGACAGUUUGUUCUGUCAGGCCAACAAACUGCAAGGAAAGUACAUCCUUGAUAUAAGGGAAAAAACAGAUCAACCAUCCCUUCCCAAAUAAGCUUGUAUCUUUCUGCAAUAAUUUUAGUGAGAAUGCUCAGAUCUGGCAAAAAUAACUGUUAUUUGGCUCUUAUAAUCUGCUGCUCAGCACCCAAGCUCCUCACAGUGCCUGGUGUGAGAAGGGUGAAUUCCUGCUCAGUUAUAAACAUGCCUUAGCUAAAACUUGUGCACAGAAGCAAGGAAAUCCAAGUGGUUUGAAACUGGUGAGGAGUUGGAUCAGGAAACACAGAACUAACCCUGCUAAGAACUGGCAUAAUCUCUAAUAUAUAUAUAUAUUUUUACUAUUUUAAUUAGGGAAGGCUAUUUAGAACCAUGGCAGGAAUAAAGAACCCUGCAAUACCAUGACAGCAGUCAUUUAUUUCUUUUUCAGCACCUUAAGUCUGCUGAAACUCUUGGUUUUGAAGGGGCCAAACCCUCUCAGCUUCAGCUGUUGCCAGUGAAUGUGCAGAUAGUUUAGAACUCAUGUGUGGUUUUGGCUGUUUAACACAAUAAAUGAAAGCUGUGUUACAAAGAAAGGAAAUCUUGCAAAACUGCAGGCAUUCUAAAGAAAAAAAAUAAUCUACCAAUGGAGCUGAAAGUAGAACAGACAAUACAGUCCAUCUCCAUGGGUCAGGAAUGAAGCUCUUCCUCUACCUACAAGACAAAUCCUAUUUCAAUCCUUCUGCAAAAUGUUUCUUCCAAUUCUUGCAGCUUUGACUGCAACUGUCACACCUGGUGCUGUCUUGCAGCCUUUACAUGACCUGACCCAAAAUGCAGAAGGGCUUUAGCUGACUAGGAAACCUCUGGCUGUCACAGUUGGAUUCAUCAGGCUCCUGUAUCCCCCAAGGUUGUCUGUGUCACUGAAUGACAUCAUGUUUCACCACUUACAGAAAGAGGGCUGGGACCAACAGAUAAAGUCAGACCGUACCAGCAAGGCAUCUAUGAGCUCAUCGUCGUGUUUUCCUUUCUCCAGCAAGGUCACAAUCUGUGCCUUCAGGAUUUUCAGUUCACCACACAGGAUUUUGUUCCUGGCUUUUGAUGCAUUGAGUUUUUUGUUCACUUCCUCGUGGCUGUUUUGGAGAGCGCGGUGUUCCCCGGCCAGUUUCUGCAGGGAUGCAAACACACCAUGGGAUAUGACAGUUAUAACCCAUCACCAGGCCCCAGCUGCUUUGGGGAGCACAAAGAAUCACACAUUACCUGGUAGAAUCUUAAAGAAGACUAAAAAAUGGGACUGGCAUAUUGUAUCACCCCUAAGGAAGUAGGAAUUGUAAACGCUGCUGCUUGCCAACAUCAAAAAAGGGUCUGUCUGCUCAGGAAUCUGAGUGGAUUAGGUUGAUUCUCAACUUUAUUCUGUUCAAAUAGAGAAGCCCAGAGCCACAUAGAUGGAGGAAGUGUGAGGGAGAUCAGAGAAUCAACCAGGCUGGAAAAGACCUCUGAGAUCAUGAGCCAUGACCCAACCCAUGACCCAACACCACCCUGUCACCCAGCCCAUGGCACUGAUGCCACAUCCAGUCUCUGCUUAAACACCUCCAGGGAUGGUGACUCCACCCCCUCCCUGGGCAGCCCAUUCCAAUGGCUGAGCAGUCUCCAUGGAAAACUUCUUCCUAAUGUCCAACCUAAACCUCCUCUGGCACAGCUUGAGACUGAGCCCUCUUGUCCUACUGCUGGUUCCUGGGAGAAGAGACCAACCUCCCCCCCGGCUCCCCCCUCCUGUCAGGGAGUUGCAGAGAGUGAGGAGGUCUCCCCUGAGCCUCCUCUUCUCCAGGCUGGACAACCCCAGCUCCCUCAGCCUCUCCUCACAGCACUUGUGCUCCAGUCCCUUCCCCAGCCUCGUUGCUCUUCUCUGGACCUGCUCCAGUCCCUCCAUGUCCUUCCUGAACUGAGGGCCCAGAACUGGACACAGCACUCCAGGGGUGGCCUCACCAGUGCUGAGUCCAGGGGCAGAAUCACUUCCCUGUUCCUGCUGCCACACUGUUCCUGAUGCAGGCCAGGAUCCAUUGGCCUUCUUGGCCACCUGGGCACACCUGAGCCCAUGUUCAGCUUCCUGUUGAUUAGAAACCCCAGGUCCCUCUCCUCCUGAUCAUUCUCCAGCCACUCUGUGGUGCUGCCAGGGGUUGUUGUGGCCAAACUGCAGGACCCGGCCCUUGGCCUUGUUAAACAUCAGACCAUUGGAUUCAGCCCAUUUAUCCAGCCUGUCCAGGUCCCUCUGCAGAGCUCUCCUGCCCUCCAGCAGAUGGAAACUCCCCCCCAGCUUGGUGUCAUCUGCAAAUUUGCUGAUGGUGGACUCAAUCCCCUCAUCCAGAUCAUCAGUAAACAGGACUGGGUCCAGCAGUGAUCCCUGGGGACACCACUAGUGACCAGAUCCCAACUGGAUGCAGCACCAUUUCCCACCAGUUAAGAACUGGCCAUCAGCCAGUUCCUAACCCAGCAGAGAGUGCCCCUGUCCAAGCUGUGGACUGCAGCUUUUCCAGGAGUGUGCCAUGGGAGACAGUAUCCAAGGCUUUGCUGAAGUGCAGGUAGACACAUCCACAGCCUUCCCCUCAUCCAGCAGGAGGGUCAACUGGUCAUAAAAGGAGAUCAGGUUGGUCAGCCAGGACCUGCCCCUCCUAAAUCCAUUCUGGCUGGGUCUGAUUCCCUGUCCAUCCUACAGGUGCCAUGUGAUGUUUGUUUCUAACACUGCAAGAAGAAUGCACACCUGACCAAGGGCCAGAAGGACACUCUGGAAUUUGGAUGUAGCUCUAGCAGGGCUUGUCUGUGGAGUGGGGCAGAACUUCCUCCAGCAGAUCAAGUGGGUUUGUGAGAUGGUCUCUGGGUAGGGUGUAACACACCCUGCAAGGCAAAUUAUUACACAGCACACGCCCAAACAGGACUCUGUUGGUUCACAGGUUUUUACCUCCAAAGCUUCUUUCUUUUCUUUCUCCAAGUUGCGAAGUUUCAGCAAGUGCUUCUCCUGGGCUGACAACUUCCUUGGAUCCUCAAGGGCCAGGAAUUCCUCAUCAAUGUCCAUCACUGAUCUUCUGGUCUUGUUUUGACCCAGCUUACUCUCCAGCUCUCGAACCUAGGGGACAAUAAUGGCGACUCAUCCAGGCAUCUGUCAGGAGCACAGGGGUCCAGCACAAAAGGGGCACAACCAAAGGCAGCUCAGAGUGUAUCCUCAUAUUAAUUCCUGAUAUUAUUAACUACCAUAGAGCAGUGUCUGGUCUUUCAAAUUUAAAUUUAGCUGCUAAUAAAACAUGCAGAUUUUAGGGCAUCUGUGCAGGAAAGAGAUAUGACACCAGACCUCUGGUUGACUCGGGACACGUGGGAGAUCUGUGGCUUUUUGGAGCCACAUGUGGAGGCCAGGCAGACACUCCAGAGCAUCUGAAAUGUGUGUAGGCAAGUGAACUCAGCCCCUGCUUGUCACCUACUCACUGCAGACUCCUUUUAUAGUCAGCAGAAGGAAUUGGGUACUGCCACAGCUCAGUUCCUCUGCCUGUUCUGGAGGUGUGAUCCAAGGUAAGAUGGACCUGCCUCACUUUUGAUCCAGUGACUGUAUUUACAAGAUCCCCACUGACUACAAAAGGGGCCUGAGGAGACUGUCUCAGAAAGAAGUCUGCUUUAGAGCAGAGAACAGUAUGUACAGUCUUCAGAUGAACCCCAGGCAGGGGGUAUAACAGAAGAAAAUGUGAUUUGAUCAAGGGAAAGCAGAGGUUAACAACCCCGGUCAAUCAGAGCGCAGAAAUCACAGUUCGAUGGCAUAUAAUUAAAUAGCAGAAAAGUAGGAAAAUUAUGUAUCAAAUUGCCUGAGAGAAGUUUUAUUUAGAUGCAGACAAAGCUGCCUCCUUGUCUCCAGCUGACAUUUCAGCCCUUCAGAAGAUUCAGGAGUUAAAGAUUUUACUGAAGCUCCCUAAGGAACAACUUGAAAAUCUUAUCUGGCCUCAAUUCUUCCCAUCUGACUUUAGGCACUGAACAAAGGUGUCUAAGUCAGAGCACAGACACUGACAGGGCUCCUUCUGUUCUCAGUGGAGGGAGGCACCUUCAAAACACCCUGGGAUUUUAACUCAGCUGCCACAGCUCUCCAGGGUCACUCAACUCACUCAUUUCACACAGAUGUGAAAGAUUCCCAGUUAAAUACCCAACCUUGCAUGGUUGCAAUAGAGUAAUUACUAUAGAUUUUAAGAAUUAAUGAAGAAUUAACAGUACCUUUACUUUAAAUUGAGGUGAUAUCAACACUUAGAAAGAGAAUUCCAGCCUCCAGCUGAGGUGGCACCACCCAGAGUCUUCACUUACCUUGUUUUGGAGAACAAGGAUCUGCUGGGCCCGUCCACGCCAGCUGCCAGAAUUGGCCAAGAGACUUUGAAUAUUCACAUCUUCCCCAAUUUCAUUUGCCAAGAGCUGUGAAAAAGGGGAUUAACACCAACAGUGAGGCUUGAAUAGAAGUGUUGGGGCUCUCUCUAGCAGUAAACACAAGCAUUACCAACAGUUUUCAAUAUAUGCCGUUAUUUUUUAUAUAAUGAAUAUUUAACCAUAAUUAAAUAGGGCAUUUAUUUGCCUAAAUUUGUCUAAAUACACACCCUUGCCAUCAGGAAUUGAGCCAAAUUCCCUUGCACAAUUCUGACACAGCUAAACUUAGUAUGGAGAGCAUUUAAAUUAUUUAUAAAAAGGUCAGCAGAGUUCUAUUUUUAGGACCAUACUCUCUACUCUGAUCUGCAUUGCAGGUCUCUUACACAAACUAAGGAAACCAGGGGAAACAGAGCACAUAGAAACACUUAAAUCCAUCCUGAAUCAAAGAGGAAAAGGUUAUUCUGGAUGUCACUCCAACAAACUAUUUAAACACGUGCUUUAUUUCCAGCAGUUUUUAAUCCCAUUGAUUUCCAUGGGACUGAAACCUGUAUUAAAACCAAACACAUAAUUAAAUGAUAAUUUAAAUGCAUCCUGAAAUGGUACCUUUUGGGUCAUCUUCAGUUCCUGUCUGGAGGACUGGAGCUGGUUCCGAUAUUCCAUGGCUUUAAAGUUGGCUGUGUUUAAUUUUUCUUGCAGUGCUUUCACCUCUGGACUUUCAGCCUGUGAAGAGAAGAAUGUACUCGGUAAGAACAGAAUCCUCAGGGGAAAACUGAAGUGAUUAAGAACCACAUAUUUAUCAGGAUCACAGAAUCUGUCUUUCCAGACCCAUUUCCUCCCUGAUUUUUGGGGUAUUUGGGAAGUAUAAACUGAACAUGGUCACAAAACUGGUGACAGGGACACAUCCUUGUCCUAAGGAAAGGACUGCACUGAGUAUCAGCUUCUGAUUUCCUCUCUUCAGUUACAGUUCAUACCAAAUUUUCUUCCAGCAUCUUCAGAGUUGAUUCCUUGAUUCCACCACCACCAAGGGAAUGUAUUUUUUCGACAGCUGCCUGUAGCUGGAAAAAAACCCCAAACAUUGUUAUUGUACAAUGGAUGCAGUGAAGAGAAUCCCUCUAUGGUGUGUUAAUUAGUAAAAAAUUAAAAUAUGGAUGUUUAUUAA